Molecule: long non-coding RNA, 1885 nt
Filed under: Drosophila guanche
Lineage: Eukaryota; Metazoa; Arthropoda; Insecta; Diptera; Drosophilidae
Source: RNAcentral
GCGCAUACAGAAUGGAAUGAAGAAGAAAUGUGGAAAUGACUGGAAUCGAAGCUCCAAAUUCCAGUCCAGCACGUGGCAAGGCGGACCAAAUGGAGACUGCAGGCGCCUACAAGCUGUUAGAGCUAUAAAAAAAGGGAAUCUUCCAGCCUAAAAACGCAGUGGUACGUAUAAAAUGGCAUACAAAUCAGACAGCAAAUCAAAGGCCCCUGCUAAAUAGCUAAAUGUUGUACGUUCUGAAGCGCGAAGAAGAAUUCAUUGAAAGAAAUAAUUGUGGCAAUAUGAAUGAGGCACUUUUUACAUGAAUAUAAGCUCACCAAUACUCAAUCAUAUUGUUACUUUGCUCGUUUUGGAAGAAAAUUGUAUUUGUAAUUGUAAUAAUACUCUCUGUAAGAGUACAAUCAUAUUGAAGCGUGUGUGCCUCAGUUUUGUAAUGCGUGUCUGCCCCCAAUCAAUGCACAACCCACAACCCACAUGCAUAGCGAAGCGGUCUUUCGAUGCAUUCAUAGCUAUGAACAACAAUCUACUCCUAAACCCCAUUGCCGUGGAGCUAAAUCUAAAAAUGAGCGAAACUCAUCUGCAAUUAAAAGUACCCUUUCAUGCUCUAUAUCGAUUGGAAAAUGAAAUUAGUUCUCGCUCAUAAAUGCAGCAUAAAUAUUUAUAUUUUCCAAGCCAAAUAAAUCAAAACAGAACUAAUUUCAGAGUCCAAUUAGCGCCCAAAGAAUUGUUCUAAAUAUGAAAUCAGAAAAUGUGAAAUCUUACGACUUCCUUAGAACUAAUUGAAUAGAUUUUCCACACUAAUUUGUUUAGAGCCAAAGUCCGGUCUGGUUUGCUCUGGUCUGGUCUGCAAGCAUCCUGUUUGGCUAGUUUCGUGGAUGUGGCACAUUAGCAUAUAUUCUUUGCAUACACGAACAGGAUAUGGGGCACACAUUCAGGCUGAGACUGAGGCGGAGAUCUGCUCCAAAUUCUCGUUGUUCAAUCUGUGCCUCAGAUUCUGGUCGUUCUGGUCUACUCAUCAUCGUCGUCUUCCAGUAGAUCGGGCGCAAAGAGAUCACUGACUUCCAGAAAAUAUGCUAACUUCUUUGCAGCAUAAAUGCCCAACAUUACUCCUGGUACAACAUUCACCAGUAUAAGGACCAGCGCCUUUGGUUCCUGUUCUGGCUUCGGUUUCACCCCGCCGUUUCUGUAGUAGGACCGAGACACGUCUUUGGGCCUACCUCUGAAGGCAGGAUUUCGAAGACGAUGCAGUAGCUGUAGCAUUCCCGACUUCAACAAUUUCAACAUUUAAAUCCGAUGUAAAUACAAAUUUUGAAUUUUUAUAGCAAACAUUUCUGAUGGAAAUAUCAAAAACUUUCACCAAACCAAAAUGGUUCGAAGUCACUCAAGAACCUCCUCCUCAUUGGGCAUGCGCGGCGUUGUCGUCGUCGUUGGAAUACUUAUUUGAGUGCGUGUACCCAAUAUGGCACUUCCGUUCUGUUGGCCGCAACCAACAACCAACAAUUGGAUUUGGUCAACCUCUCGCUCGCUGUCUGAUUGUCACUUCUACACUUGGCCUACGUUUACCUCUUUUCGAGGGAUGGCUGUGUUUCCAAAUUUGGGUUCCAAUUUUACCUCAAGAAGUAUAUUUUUAUGAUAGUUGUUUGUCAGAGCGUAGAAAGGAUGAGUUCCUGUGGGGGUCUGUUAAGUUUCCCAGGGUUAAAAGUAUUUUAAAUGUAAUUAUUACACUUAAACUGUUGUACAUUUUCACAGAAACUUUUUUCUAAUAAUCUAUUCUUAAGUGUCUUCAAUUAUUCAUACAAUAUUUUCAGAGGAAUUCCUUGCCCUGCUCUAGCAGUAGCAUGUCCGAGUUGAGGGAACAUUAAAGUCGGCUGGGGGUGGCGAUGGAGGC